Molecule: long non-coding RNA, 313 nt
Organism: Alligator sinensis (Chinese alligator)
Lineage: Eukaryota; Metazoa; Chordata; Crocodylia; Alligatoridae
Exons: 3
Source: RefSeq, a predicted model, not a curated record
CCAGCACAUCAGAGCAGGUUCCCUGCAUGUCUGUAGGAGCCUUCAGAUAUCUUCUGUCAACAUCAAUUGCCUUGACAGUAGCUACCAUGCUUGGAGAUGUAAUAUCAGAACAAAGCUAAAAACAAGAAUGUCUGAAAUAUCAAGAAUAAUGACCUACAAAGUCUCUUCUGGCCCCAGCUUCCACUGAAAAAUAAUUGGAUGAAUUGGCUGAAUUGGUUCUCAACAGGUCUCUCUGAGAAGAGAACCAGGAGAUAAGACCUGCUUAUAACAGGGGCUCUGCAACCUGGAAGUCCUAUCUUCCCCAGAACACCAG